This 482-nucleotide ribosomal RNA is filed under the name uncultured bacterium. RNAcentral describes it as "partial 16S ribosomal RNA". It matches the Rfam family "Bacterial small subunit ribosomal RNA", at positions 28 to 507 of the family's 1533-position model. The record is from RNAcentral.
GAUGAACGCUGGCGGCGUGCCUAAUACAUGCAAGUCGAACGCUUCACUUCGGUGAAGAGUGGCGAACGGGUGAGUAAUACAUAAGUAACCUGGCAUCUACAGGGGGAUAACUGAUGGAAACGUCAGCUAAGACCGCAUAGGUGUAGAGAUCGCAUGAACUCUAUAUGAAAAGUGCUACGGGACUGGUAGAUGAUGGUCUUAGGGCGCAUUAGCUUGUUGGUAGGGUAACGGCCUACCAAGGCGACGAUGCGUAGCCGACCUGAGAGGGUGACCGGCCACACUGGGACUGAGACACGGCCCAGACUCCUACGGGAGGCAGCAGUGGGGAAUUUUCGGCAAUGGGGGAAACCCUGACCGAGCAACGCCGCGUGAAGGAAGAAGUAAUUCGUUAUGUAAACUUCUGUCAUAGAGGAAGAACGGUGGAUGUAGGGAAUGAUAUCCAAGUGACGGUACUCUAUAAGAAAGCCACGGCUAACUACGUG